RNAcentral lists this small RNA (30 nucleotides) under Arabidopsis thaliana (thale cress). Its description in RNAcentral is "ATSL071820". The record is from RNAcentral. Lineage: Eukaryota; Viridiplantae; Streptophyta; Magnoliopsida; Brassicales; Brassicaceae.
AAUUUCUCUCUCUCUCUCUCUCUCUUCUCU